This is a long non-coding RNA of Denticeps clupeoides (denticle herring), 2984 nucleotides long. Lineage: Eukaryota; Metazoa; Chordata; Actinopteri; Clupeiformes; Denticipitidae. The record is from Ensembl.
AAUUUGAAUUAUCAAAACUGAAUUUGAAAUUAUUUUACUUGAAUAUUAGAGCUAAUAUUAUGACAAAACUAUUUGAAUGUGAAUUGUGUAAAUCUGAAUUAUCAAAAUUCAAUUCUCUAAAUUCAUUUUUCUAAAAUUCAAUUUUCUAAAUUCAGUUUUCUAAAAUUCAAACCCAGAAAUUCAGAUCGUACAGAAAGUAGGUCAGAGGUCAUUCACAGGGAGGCGUAGAUGAUCUCCGAAAAGUCGAGCGAAGCAUUUUGGUCAAUUACAGAGCUGCUCAGGAGGUGACCAUUCUUCUGCGUGAUCAUGAAUCGCCCAGAGGUAAACAACAUUUUAGACGUUUCCCGAAUAUCAACACUACUGCAACGAGGCAAGUGACUGUCUUUAUGAACUGGUUACUGAAUCAUUGGCUUAUUUAAUGAUUCAGUAACCAAUUCAAUUUAUGUCCUACUAACGAUAUUGUUUUUAGAUACACAUCAUUAGUUUGUAGCUAUAUAUAAAAAUAAAUAUAAAAUAUAUAUAUUUUGCUUAAACUGUUUUUACAGGACAGCGAAGCUGUCAGAUCAGCCAGGCACUUGUUGUCUUUGCUGACCUCAAGCAGUGCAGCUGGUCCCAGUGCAUACAUAGUUUUAUUAAAAUACUUUCAUUAAAUUAAUUUCAUAAUUCAGCCUCCAUAGGCAGCACACUGUUCAGCAGAGGGCCACCAUUCAAACUGAGAUGACCAGAUCAUUUCCCGGGUUUUUCAGCAAAGGACGGGGUAAAAGGCGAAUGCUGUCAAUGCCCCCUAGCAAACCCGCAAAAAUAUUGCCUGUUAACUUUUAUCUGUUUCCUCACCAAUAUGAGCGAACACCUGAGGAGAGUGAGCAACUGGUACAUAUGCAAGCUGGGUUGGGGUGAAAGACAAUGCAAAUGGUUGAAAAUGCAACUUAUGAUGAAGUAUGUGCCCAACUGAAGGAGCUGUUCCCAAAAUUUCAGGAUGUAAAGGGGGGUUGGCUUGUCUAUAAGUCUUCAGGUGGAUGGGGCUCCCGGAAGCUUACACUUAUCCCACCCGAUGAGAGUGGGUACAGUGCCAAACAUUUGAAAGCAGCAACCCAGGGUUUCAAAGGAGUUCUUUACGAAACUUGCCCCAUUUGUCAAAAGAAAAUGCCUUUUGAUGUGAUAGAGAUUCAUGCAAGUUUUUGCACAGGUGACGGGUAAGGAAAAUCGCACAACAUAUUUUCAGUAAAUCUUAUUACAUUUUUUUAUUGUUGUUUUUUGUACUUUCUUUGUGCUGUUCAGAUUGCCACAGGUCUUCUUCACUUCUUCACUAUACAAUUGUGAAUAUUGUGUUUUAUGUUCAAAUUAUGAAUGUUCAAUUCAUUUAGAACUCUUGAAAUUAUCUAUUCAAAAAGGAAUUUUGUUCCGUUAUUGCACGUUAAUUAAGUUUGUAUAUUACAGUGUAAGCAUGCAACCUCUGGAGUUUAAUGUGUCUAUGGAAGAACCAUCCACAUCUGGAGUUUCUGUGUCUGUGACACAUACGGGUGAUCAUUUAAAUGCAGAUGAUGCCACAAGCAUUUUUACAUUUUUUUUUGGAACUGAUAAGCAUAAUACAUUUCUGAGAUGUAAAACUGAAAUAGAAUACACAAUUAGCUUCAGCUGAACUGUUAACAUGUUGCUUCUUUGUUUUUGUUUUUUUUCUUUGCAGAUUGGAAAACUGAACCAGAUAAAAAUAAAGCAGCAUCCUUAUACACAAAGGAAAUAAUUCUCCAACAUGAGAUGAGAAAGCCCCUCUUGAUGACCAUGGAUUUGAGGAUGGACAAGGAAAAUCAAGACAGAGAACUUGCUGUAAAUUGCGGUUAUAUUCAGGAGUUAUGUGAAAUCUAAUACAGACACCAUGUCUACAAAUGAAGUUACAGUCCCACAGUUUGUCCUGCAUUGUUUGGACUUGUUGUUCAAUAAUUUUGAUGCAGUUCAUCUAUGCACACGUUCAUGUAGUAUUGCAGUUUUAUUUUUGAGACUUUGGAAACUUCCAUGCAAUAAUGUUACAGUUUUUCUAUCAAAUACAUUUAAAUUCAGUUCCAGAACUCCAUGUGUCUACUCAAUGUGUCAUUACUCAAGUGACUGGCAAAACUGCACUGCAGCCAUGUAAAUGUCUAUCCCAUGGGAUUGUGAUGGUGAUCUUGGAUCCACUGUGUCCUUUAGUGCUGCAAGCUGCUCUGCUAUAAGUGGACAUUCCACAAUAGGAACAUUAACACCAACACUUUCACCAGGAGGCAAUCAAUGAACAGCAAUGUUCAGUUCCUGUGUAAACAAAGAACAACAUAUUUCUGUAUAAAUCGUGUAUAAUCUCAGCUGUAAUAGUUCCAAAUACUAAGUGUUUAAACACCAGUUAAGGAACAUUUAAUUUUCACAACCCCUGUAAUAAUGUAAACAUGGCUUUAAAUUAGCAUUAACAAAAUACCUCUUCAUCUUGGGGAUCAUCAACUGGAUAAUGAAUUUGACCCAAUUCCCAGAGCUGGUUUGGAGACAUGUUGUGUUCUGUUCUCGAAGGGUGAUUAUCCCAACCAUCUCGGAAAAUGCUCAGAUCAUCUUGUAGCCGUGGUAGAAAUGUGUAGUGGCAACAGAAGAGAUGUGUUUGGUCUGCAGUAUGAAGGUAGCUGGCUUCCUCAAGAUAGUGUAGUACAUCAUAGUAGACGCUGGUCACUGCAGUCCACACAUCUCUCCAAAGUCGCUCUAUUCUACAACAUAAGGCAUUACGAGAAAAGUCCUAAGCAAUCAGUUCGUUCAAACAAGCAUUUGGAGAAUAAAGCACAAGGUGACAUGUCCUCUACAUAAUACUUUCUUUGUGCUGAUUGCUUAGAUUUAAUUUACAAAUGUUUUUGUAAGUUACUAAUUAUAACCAUUUAAUUGUACAGAAAGAGAGCAAAUAAUUAUCAAAGAACAUUAUCAUUGAGUUCAACCACUCUCAAAAACUCAUAUUAUAAUCACUGAAGUGGUUUACACUG